ACUUCCGGUUCCCGCGCGGCGCUCCAAAGCUCGGGGAGUGGUGGUCUCCCUUUCCUGGAGUCAUUUGUGGGAGUUAGGGUCUUAUCCUGAUCUUUCCUCGUCCCCCGCUCCCCCGUCCUCCGAGGUGGCAGCUGCAUCGGGGGUCAUACUACACAUCGAUCGGGACCUUAGUCAUGUUGUGAUAUGGACAGCUUUCUUACCAGUACUCAUAAGCCUGCUUCAUUUUUUACGUGGCGGCACCACUGAGUGGUUGACGAAGUCUGGAACGUUUUUUCUUAGAGUUCCAGAAUUGAGACUGAAGUGUACCCAGAGACACAAAGAAAUACAGAAGUCCAGAAUGAUCAAAUGAGAUCACUACCCAAUGAAAUGAUGGGCCGAGGAGCCAGAAGUUGUCCUACUACCUGCUUUCCAGGUCCAGAUUCCACGAGAGCCUUCUGGGCUCCCACCAGAGACCCUCAGUGAAGACUCUGUUGAAGACUUUAAGACCAUGCUAGAAAGCCUCCCGGCAGAGGUUCAGGAAGUUCUGCUAUGAGGAUGCAGCUGGCCCCAGGGAUGUCCUCAGGCAUCUCUAGGACCUUGCUGGACGGUGGUGGCUGAGACCUGAUAUCCACACAAAGGAGCAGACUGUGGAAAUGCUGGUGCAGGAGCAAUUCCAGGCUGUCCUGCCCGAGGAGCUCAGAGCUCAAGCACAGAGAUGUCAGCCUGGAAUCAGAAUCACUGGCUAAGUCUUGCUGCUUGCUUCUUGCUCAGCCUGCAUAUGAGAAGUCAACCAAGCAUUCUCUUGGAUGCAAGAUCCAACUGCACCCAUGGGAAAUCUGAACUUCCACUUUCUUUGAGCUUGUCUUUGGUUGUAAUAAGAAUCCAUCAAAACCCAUGUCUGGAUCUCUCUUUGGCUGAGGCAGCUUUAUUUCCUACAGAAAGAGUUUCUCUGUCCUCUUGUUAGGACAAUCAGCCUGCUGCUUUGGGCUUUUCCAAGAGCCUAUUUUUCAUCUGCUGGAUGCCUCUUUUUUUUUUUUUUUUUUUUUUUGCACUGUGUGACAUGCUUUAAUAUAUAUAUUUUUUAUGUAUCCAAAGAGGUAAUCAACUUUAACUUUCAGAAUUCAUGAAUCUUGGUUUGGUGGCAUGAAUGAAAGGUUAUGUAACCCCACCAGUAACUCAUUUGGGGUGCCCUUGAAAUAUUAAAGUUUGGUCCUCAA
This 1196-nucleotide long non-coding RNA is filed under the name Homo sapiens (human). Its description in RNAcentral is "HSALNT0290711". The record is from RNAcentral. Lineage: Eukaryota; Metazoa; Chordata; Mammalia; Primates; Hominidae.